This is a long non-coding RNA of Rhincodon typus (whale shark), 249 nucleotides long. RefSeq lists it as uncharacterized. NCBI's taxonomy places the organism in Eukaryota, Metazoa, Chordata, Chondrichthyes, Orectolobiformes, Rhincodontidae. The record is from RefSeq and is a predicted model, not a curated record. The transcript is spliced from 2 exons.
GUUGCAGCAAUUGGUAGAUUUCAGCCAUGACCUUUUGAGUGAAACAUGGAUGUCUGAAGCAAGGUGACUCUGAAGUUAAGAGAAUUCUCUAUUAAAAAUCAUCAGCAGAUGCUGCCAGAUGAACUAGGUCUUUCCAGCCAUUUCUGUUUAUGUUUGGAAUGUUCAGUUAUCUGCUGUUUGUUGAACCGAUGGAGAAUCAAGAAGCAACUUGGAAUGCCCCAUCAUGAUUAAAGUGUCAUUGAUUAAUAA